UGGGGAAUUUUGGACAAUGGGCGAAAGCCUGAUCCAGCAAUGCCGCGUGUGUGAAGAAGGCCUUCGGGUUGUAAAGCACUUUUGUCCGGAAAGAAAUCCUUGUCUCUAAUACAGUCGGGGGAUGACGGUACCGGAAGAAUAAGCACCGGCUAACUACGUGCCAGCAGCCGCGGUAAUACGUAGGGUGCAAGCGUUAAUCGGAAUUACUGGGCGUAAAGCGUGCGCAGGCGGUUUGCUAAGACCGAUGUGAAAUCCCCGGGCUCAACCUGGGAACUGCAUUGGUGACUGGCAGGCUAGAGUAUGGCAGAGGGGGGUAGAAUUCCACGUGUAGCAGUGAAAUGCGUAGAGAUGUGGAGGAAUACCGAUGGCGAAGGCAGCCCCCUGGGCCAAUACUGACGCUCAUGCACGAAAGCGUGGGGAGCAAACAGGAUUAGAUACCCUGGUAGU
RNAcentral lists this ribosomal RNA (447 nucleotides) under uncultured bacterium. Its description in RNAcentral is "partial 16S ribosomal RNA". It matches the Rfam family "Bacterial small subunit ribosomal RNA", at positions 355 to 794 of the family's 1533-position model. The record is from RNAcentral.